Molecule: ribosomal RNA, 468 nt
Filed under: uncultured bacterium
Lineage: Bacteria
Description: partial 16S ribosomal RNA
Rfam family: Bacterial small subunit ribosomal RNA
Source: RNAcentral
GACGAGCGCUGGCUGCGUGCUUAACACAUGCAAGUCGAACGGGAAGGCCCUGCUUUUGUGGGGGGCUCGAGUGGCGAACGGGUGAGUAACACGUGAGUAACCUGCCCUUGACUUUGGGAUAACGUCAGGAAACUGGGGCUAAUACCGGAUAGGAGCUCCUGCUGCAUGGGGGGGGUUGGAAAGUUUCGGCGGUUGGGGAUGGACUCGCGGCUUAUCAGCUUGUUGGUGGGGUAGUGGCUUACCAAGGCUUUGACGGGUAGCCGGCCUGAGAGGGUGACCGGCCACAUUGGGCCUGAGAUACGGCCCAGACUCCUCCGGGAGGCAGCAGUGGGGAAUAUUGCACAAUGGGCGGAAGCCUGAUGCAGCAACGCAGCGUGCGGGAUGACGGCCUUCGGGUUGUAAACCGCUUUCGCCUGUGACGAAGCGUGAGUGACGGUAAUGGGUAAAGAAGCACCGGCUAACUACGUG